This 254-nucleotide ribosomal RNA is filed under the name uncultured bacterium. Its description in RNAcentral is "partial 16S ribosomal RNA". It matches the Rfam family "Bacterial small subunit ribosomal RNA", at positions 524 to 776 of the family's 1533-position model. The record is from RNAcentral.
UACGGGGGAUGCAAGCGUUAUCCGGAUUUAUUGGGUUUAAAGGGUGCGUAGGCUGUGAGGUAAGUCAGCGGUGAAAUGCCCCCGCUCAACGGGGUGAAGUGCCAUUGAUACUGCCUUGCUGGGAUGCGGAUGCCGUGGGAGGAAUGUGUGGUGUAGCGGUGAAAUGCAUAGAUAUCACACAGAACACCGAUUGCGAAGGCAUCUCACGAAUCCGCUAUUGACGCUGAUGCACGAAAGCGUGGGUAUCAAACAGG